This 458-nucleotide ribosomal RNA is filed under the name uncultured soil bacterium. Its description in RNAcentral is "bacterial SSU rRNA". It matches the Rfam family "Bacterial small subunit ribosomal RNA", at positions 26 to 448 of the family's 1533-position model. The record is from RNAcentral.
AGGACGAACGUUGGCGGCGUGCCUUACACAUGCAAGUCGUACGCGAAAGGGGAAUCCAGCUUGCUGGGGACCCCCGGUAGAGUGGCGAACGGGAGCGUAACACGUGAGGAACCUGCCUCGGAGUGGGGAAUAACCCAGAGAAAUCUGGGCUAAUUCCGCAUGAUGCAGCGGCCCCGCAUGGGGACAGUUGUUAAAGACCGCCUCUGCUUGCAAGCGGUCGCUUCGAGAUGGUCUCGCGGCCUAUCAGCUAGUUGGCGGGGUAAUGGCCCACCAAGGCGACGACGGGUAGCCGGCCUGGAGAGGGUGUCCGGGCCUACGAGUUGGGACUGAGACCACGGCCCAGACUCCUACGGGAGCAGCAGUGAGGAUCUUGCGCAAGUGGCGAAAGCCUAGACGCAGCGACGCCGCGUGAGGAUGAAGGUCCGUUCGGUUACGUAAACCUCGUAGUCGAAGGGGAA